AGCGGGGUAGAUCAGCACGGAGUGAUCGCCGGGCUCAUAACCCGGAGGUCGGUGGUUCAAAUCCACUCCCCGCUA
Molecule: transfer RNA, 75 nt
Filed under: Candidatus Nanoarchaeia archaeon
Lineage: Archaea; Nanobdellati; Nanobdellota; Candidatus Nanoarchaeia
Description: tRNA-Met
Rfam family: tRNA
About the family: Transfer RNA (tRNA) molecules are approximately 80 nucleotides in length. Their secondary structure includes four short double-helical elements and three loops (D, anti-codon, and T loops).
Source: RNAcentral